This 118-nucleotide microRNA precursor is filed under the name Sorex araneus (European shrew). Its description in RNAcentral is "miRNA (ENSSARG00000015229.1)". The record is from RNAcentral. Lineage: Eukaryota; Metazoa; Chordata; Mammalia; Eulipotyphla; Soricidae.
GGGUUUCUGCCAUGCCUGGCUCCCUGCAUGGCAAAUGGCAUUUCCUCAACGGCUCUGGGGCCCGGUGCUGGAGCGUGAGAAACACUCGUCACUGUACGUGGAUUCAUUCUCCGUCUCU